RNA transcript from Dromaius novaehollandiae (emu), 2863 nucleotides. RefSeq lists it as uncharacterized. NCBI's taxonomy places the organism in Eukaryota, Metazoa, Chordata, Aves, Casuariiformes, Dromaiidae. The transcript is spliced from 3 exons. The record is from RefSeq and is a predicted model, not a curated record.
GGGCCUCCGUUGCGCCCCUCCGCGCUGCUUUCCUCGCCCCGCUCCCUGCGCCGGCCCCCUGCGGGAGCGCGGCCUCACGGGCGGCCCCAGCCCGCCCUGCCCCGCUGGCGGAGGGCGCUGCCUUCGUCCCGGGGGCGCCUGCCCCGGUGGGGCUCUCCGUGGAGCCGUGCUGGAGGCCGCGGGGAGGAGGGGGCUUCAGGCCGCCCCGCGUCAUGGUGCCGCCUCCCGGCGCCGUGCCCAGCCUGGCAGGGCCCCCGCUCCCCCUUGGGCAGCCCCCGGGUCUGCACCGAGGCCUCCCGGGUGCCUCCGCGCAGCCCGUUCCCCGUCCCCCGCCUGCCCUGGCGUCGCCCUGGCCGCGGCAGAGAGGCCGUCUCACCCUGCCACCAUCAUCCGUGCGGUUUGGACCCAGCCACGCUCCCUUUUAGAUACGUGCUGCGGCCCCAUUGUGACAAACCGCUCCGUUUUGGGGAGCGGGGCCUGCCUGAGCGCCAUGACGUAUCAGCAAAUGAUGUGCAUUAAAGUGUGUUAAAGAUACAUAUAAGCAGAGCAGGAUAAAAUGAAAUUACAUUCGACAAAGUGUGUUAGCAUUUGUUAGGUUUCAAAAUAACUGCUUCUUUUGUAAUAUGUUUUACAAACAGGGAAGAAAUUUGUGUAUGUUGAGCCAUCUAGGAGAGUUAAGGAAAUACUUGAAGAAGAGCUUUAUUUUCGGAAAGAAGAGUGCCACAUUAAACAUCCAGCUGCAGUGGCUCUGGAAGGAAUUUGGAGUGUGAAAAAGAAUUUCUCCAUGGGAGGCCUGAAACCAGCAUCACAGAACAGAAACAGUUUACUUUUGCAACCUAAAUUCUACUCGAGGCAUGAAGGAAUGAAAAGAUAGGCUUCAUGAAAAGCAGCAUCUUCAUUUUUGAAGAACACUGGGGAGGGCAGAAGCACCUGUGAUUAUCACACCUACAGCAGUCGCUUCUUACAAAAAACCUCCCAAUUUCAAAAGUGUAAAAUGCUUAUACUAUACCAGUUAAAUAAUAAAAUAGUAAAGGUGUCUAUAUGGGCACCUAUCAGCAUUGCAACUAGAUGGGGUGAAUGUGGAAGGACUCCACAACCAGAUCUAUUUGUCUGAAGUUUCACACUACUGACAUAUCAUAUUAUUAAUUUUGUACCACAGCAUUGUCUGGAUAUGGAAGUUAUAUGAGUGUAAUUACAACAAUAGCAUGAAUUAAGUUAUUACUAGCAUAAGAAGGGUUUAACCCAGUAUAGCAUUCUGCCAUGUCUGCCUUUACUCUAGGGGUAAUACUUGCACAAAUAUUUUGGUUAUAGAGCAGACCUAAUCUAUGUCAGCUACUAACUGCAGUCACCUGUGGUAUGUACUUAAGCCAAAUAAAUCUUAGUCAAACCAUAGAUAAUACAGUCAAAGAGCUCAGAGACAUAGAUGUAAUUUUAAAACUCAUAUUCAUAAGGCUUCCAGUAAAAGCACACAGUUUUCAAAGUUUUCAAUCCAGAGUUUUGAAUUCUGAUUGCCUCCAUUUCCCAUUAAGUUCCAUUAGAGAAGCACAGCUUUAAAAUGAAGCAGUUUAUUCAAGAUGAUUUUGAUGCUGAAAUUCAUGAUAUCUGUUGGUUUUCCUUUUGGGAUCCAGAUGUACCUAGGGACUGCUGCUAAAGAGAUAAGUGAUGUCUCUUCUCAGUAGCUAUACUGACUUUUCUGUAGCACAACAGGCAGGCAAUGAGAGAAGGGAUGGAAGAGAAGAUACAGGACAGGAGAAAAACUGAAAGCAAUCUGGCUUCAGCUCCUAUACUCACCAGUCCAUUUCCAUUCACACUUCACAUUCUGUGAAAGGAACUGGGCAAAAAAUGAAGUGAUAAUAGACUAAAAGAGUGAGAGAGGGACUAGGUACAGGCUAUGGAAAUGGAACAAAACAGAGGAGAGGUUUCUAGAAAGGAGAUGAACCUAUCAGCUUUAGAGCAAAGGGGAAAGGCACCACCCAAAGGAGAAGGAAGAAGCAUGGACAAGGGGAAUGAGAGAGGAGACAGGACAAAAGGUUAAGAAUUUCUAAAGGGAACUGGAAAUUGCUGAACUGUGUUCUUUUCUCUGGUUCUCCUAAGCAGAGAUAAAAACUCAAUGAAAUGAGGGAAAAAGAUGGAGAAAUAAGUAGGAGAGAGGAAAAAAAAAACAGAAAAAAUUAAGCAGGUAUGCCCAUGCUGCUGAAUUUGGUAAAAUUAAUGCAUUUAUUUUGGCUUCUUCCUUUUAUUGCCUUUUCCUAAAGUCCAUCCUGCAGGAUACAUUUUAAGUGACAAGUGGUUGUGGGGGCUUCACUAUGUAGGUGUCUCACCUGUCCUCAUAGAGGAUCUUUUUUUUUUUUUUUUUUUUACAGAUUGCUAAACUCUUGUCAUGCGAAUAUCUGAGCCUAUUCGAUGUCUCAAAACAAACAUCCCAAAUCACUAGCUGCCUUUGGAAAUGCAGAUCUAUAUUUCUAUGACUUUAAAGGAAGUUCUGCUUAGAUGCUUAGUUCUGCUUAGUUAUUCCCUCUUCCUUUGUUGUUGUUUUAUUUAUAUCCUUGUGCUGCCUUUCUUCAGAUGUAGUAGCCAAAUGUGAUUAGUAUUUCAGUCAGUGAUGAAGAUAUCUCAAUCCAAAACUUACUAAAUUAGUCACUAAAUUAGUCACUUGACAAAAAUUUGCUACUGUGAAACCUGGCAUUUUUAUAGGCUUCUGUGUUAUAAAAUGAUUCUAACUUCCAGGAGAAGAUUGUAAUAUAAUUAUAGAGAUGUCUUAACAUUCCUGAGACUGAGUCCAUUUAUUAAACCCAGCAGCUCAUAGACCAAGAGUUUGUAUUUCACUAUUUAAACUGAUUUAAUAAAAGCUUAACAUAAAUAA